GGAGUCUGGGCCGUAUCUCAGUCCCAGUGUGGCCGGACACCCUCUCAGGCCGGCUACCCGUCGUCGCCUUGGUGAGCCAUUACCUCACCAACUAGCUGAUAGGACACGAGCACCUCCCUUGGCGCCUUGCGGCUUUAACCUCUCGGCCUAUGGGGUAUUAGCGUCCGUUUCCAGACGUUGUCCCCCACCAAAGGACAGCUUCUCAUGUUGUACUCACCCGUCCGCUGCUCCGCUCGUACCUUCCAUGUCGCCACUUCAGAUACGUCGUCGCUCAACUUGCAUGUGUUACGCACGCCGCCAGCGUUCAUC
This 309-nucleotide ribosomal RNA is filed under the name uncultured Synergistales bacterium. RNAcentral describes it as "partial 16S ribosomal RNA". Lineage: Bacteria; Thermotogati; Synergistota; Synergistia; Synergistales. The record is from RNAcentral.